UGAUCUUGAGCCCCCUUGCUCAUAUAAUCCCUCCUCCCUCUCUUCGACUGCACUCCCAGAGCUCAGCCCAGUGCUUGACUGUGGGUCUCUGCAUCUGCUUCUGUCAGUUACUGGAUGUAGGUUCUAUGAUGACAGUUAGGGUAGUCACCAACCUCAUUACAGAAGAAGGCCAGCUCAGGCACUCUCUCCACUAUUGAUGGUAGCCUAAGCUGGGGUAAUCCUUGUGGAUUCUUGGGAAUUUCCCCAGCACCAGUUCCAUCCAUUUGCCUGCAAAUUUCAUGAUGUCAUUGUUUUUUACCGAGGCUUAGUCCACCACUGUCAUGGCAGGAAGCGGGGCGGCAUGCAG
Molecule: long non-coding RNA, 346 nt
Organism: Peromyscus eremicus (cactus mouse)
Lineage: Eukaryota; Metazoa; Chordata; Mammalia; Rodentia; Cricetidae
Exons: 3
Source: RefSeq, a predicted model, not a curated record